AUAUUAAUUCGAAGAGUGGUUGUUGUUGAAGAAUCUCACGAAUUAUUCUAUAUACAUAACUCGACCCUAUAUUUUAUUUUACAAUUACUUGGUAUUUGUAGUUUCAUCAACAAAUACGAACCGUCGGAUUUAAGAAUUUGUAGACAUGUAUAUGCCACAUGAGUUGACAUAAAUCUUAUUUUGGAGGCGAGUUUGCCAUUUUUGAAACACUCCAAUUCCCCUAAAAAUUAUAAGUUUUAUUUCAAUUUUAAGAAGUAGAAAUACAUUGUUUUUCAAGUCAACUGAAUUUUAUAUGUUUCUCUCAAAAUCCCUCCAUUUAAAUAUGGGCUUAAGCAUAAGGCCCAUCGGUUUUUUCUAAUGGGCCAGCCCAAUUCAAUCUGGGUUAGUCUUAGAAUUGUCUUAGCGCGAAGCUCCAUGUUCAUAAGAUAACUUUGUAUUCACUUGUAAAAAUCGACGCUGCAAAUGAAACGAUUCAAUUCCUCUUCAUUUGUUAAUCAUCAACUUCUGAUUUUUGCACAAAGGAAUUUGUGGAUUUUUCCCAAGCGCCACAGCAGGCAGCAUUCUGACGAGAAACGACAUAUCGCAAUCCACGAGGUAAUUGAACUUCGAUAAGAGGAGGAAAUAGUUUGUUUGAUGCAAUCAAUCCAUUUGGAUUGAUCGAAAGGUCGAUAAGUAUUGGGAAUUUGAAUUUCGGGAAUAUAGCAGAGAAGAAAAUGGUCCUGAAAUGUGUUUGUGUGUAAAGAAGGGAUGGGGUUUUAGCGACUGUCUUUCUAUUUAUUUACAUACUUUCUUCUGAAUGAACAGUGGGAGUAUUCGAUUUUUUUUUUUUUUGGUCAUUUUUUUCAACUGAAUAUUCCAUUCGAAUGAUUUGGCGUCCUCUUUGAUUAGGAUAUUAGCCCACCGGAAAGACGAAAAUCAAAGAGAAAAAGGACAAAAACCAAAAGGAAGAAAAGAAUAAUACCCUUUAAGCAGCUCACUUUAUGCUAUUGAUUGGGUAUCUAUCACUUUUUUAAUCCAAAGGAUAAACCAUUUUUUUUAAUGAGAAGAUGCUUUAUGUGGGGAAAUGUAGAUUAAUUGUUCUGUACUUUGCCAUAGAAAGCGAUUGUUUUAUUACUUUUGCUUGAUUAUCUAUCCAAUAGGGUGAUAUUUUGCUGGUUGAAAAGAAAGUUUAAACAAUGAUGGAUAUUGGUGGAAUCCCUGGUUCUGCGUAAAGGUAAACUGAAGGUUUUUGAUUCUUUCUGUGGGCUUUUCUUUACGUAUUAAACGUUAUUCCUUUUAUGCAUAAAAGCUCUCGCAGAUAACUCAGAGUAGUCAGCAAGUGUCUUCUUUCUCAGAGGAGAACCUUUUGUAUUUAUCUAAUUAUUUGACAUUUGGCAGAAAAAAAAUUGUGAGAUCUACGAAUUUUUUCUUAAACUCCUAGCAUUGAAGCUCUCCUGUGAAAAGACUUGUCCAACAAAUUGACAAACGUCAGUUUCUUUUAUGGUUCUGAUUUUAAAAGAUAAAGACCUUUGGAGACUUCUACUGCUCGGUACUUUCAUUGAUACUGAUAUCAAAGAUUUGGAGAAUGAUGGAGUGAUAUCUUCUCUAAUGGAGCUAAGUGAUUCUGGUAGUUUUCUUUAUAUGUAUAUAUAUAUAGAUAUACCUUGUCAGUGAUAUCAUAUUUUAAAGUAAAGUAUUGAUAUCGUAUUCGUUUUCUUCACGGACUACCUUGAGCCACCUUUGCACUAAAAUCUCUGAAAGAAAGGAAAAGGAAAAGGAAUAAGGCUUGUAUUGGAGAUCUUCAAAAUAGUUUUAUAUUCUUGCUUUUGAAAUUGUUUAAAAAAA
Benincasa hispida (wax gourd) is the source of this 1824-nucleotide RNA transcript. RefSeq lists it as uncharacterized. The record is from RefSeq and is a predicted model, not a curated record. Lineage: Eukaryota; Viridiplantae; Streptophyta; Magnoliopsida; Cucurbitales; Cucurbitaceae.